AGUUAAUUAUCUUAAUUAAAGAAGUUACUUUGAAAGUAAAAUAAAUGGAUUAAAUACCAUAUUAACUU
This 68-nucleotide transfer RNA is filed under the name Phatnoma laciniatum. RNAcentral's name for it is "tRNA-Ser". The record is from RNAcentral. Lineage: Eukaryota; Metazoa; Arthropoda; Insecta; Hemiptera; Tingidae.